RNAcentral lists this long non-coding RNA (416 nucleotides) under Ursus maritimus (polar bear). RNAcentral describes it as "lncRNA (ENSUMAG00000023991.1)". Lineage: Eukaryota; Metazoa; Chordata; Mammalia; Carnivora; Ursidae. The record is from RNAcentral.
CCUGGGCCAGGUGGUCUGAAGCCAGCCUGCUACCUUGCGAUUGGGAAACCAGUAGUUUGGGACAGGCUGACAGAUGAUGCUGAGAUGGGUAAACACUGCUGAUCGAAGCUAUACAGCAGUGCCCUCAAGUUUCAGAAGAACAGACGAUACCAGGAGCUGGCUCUCAAGGGGUUGAGAAAAGGAGGGAAGAGACAGAGGCCUGGCUCUCGGCGUGCUGGAGGUCUUACAGAAAGCGAACCCUUGAUCAAGCAUUUCAUGCGUGGCGAAGGGCUGACUCUCUGGAAAGGAGCCUCGCCAGGAACUGCAGCCACCCCCUGCCAGAGUGCACCUCACCUCUGCCAGGUGCUCAGCGAGACCUGGAUGCAGUAAGGAAGAUUUGCGCACAUUUCAGAGACAAUCCAGUACGAACUACAUGA